UAAGGAAUAUUGCGCAAUGGGCGAAAGCCUGAUCCAGCAACGCCGCGUGAGUGAUGAAGGCCUUCGGGUUGUAAAGCUCUGUCGGUUAGAACGAAUAAGGGACACCUAACACGUGUCCCGACGACGGUACUAGCAAAGGAAGCACCGGCUAACUCUGUGCCAGCAGCCGCGGUAAGACAGAGGCCACGAACGUUGUUCGGAAUCACUGGGCAUAAAGCGCACGUAGGCGGCUAGGUCCGUCCAAUGUGAAAGCCCCCGGCUCAACCGGGGAAUUGCAUCGGAUACAGCCUGGCUUGAGGACGGUUGGGGUGAGUGGAACUCCUGGUGGAGCGGUGAAAUGCGUAGAUAUCAGGAGGAACACCGGUGGCGAAAGCGGCUCACUGGACCGUAACUGACGCUGAGGUGCGAAAGCUAGGGGAGCAAACGGGAUUAGAUACCCCCGUAGUCCCUGAGCGGGCUGGCAAGGCG
This 468-nucleotide ribosomal RNA is filed under the name uncultured bacterium. Its description in RNAcentral is "bacterial SSU rRNA". It matches the Rfam family "Bacterial small subunit ribosomal RNA", at positions 355 to 822 of the family's 1533-position model. The record is from RNAcentral.